AGAGAAUCGAGUCAGCGGCGAUCUUGAGUUUUAAUGGCCUGGAAGAGAGUGAACUGACGGCGCGGACAAAUUACCAAGUAAGGAUUGCAGCAAGUCAAUCCAGUCAAAAGUGUAGAGAACUAUUUUCCUAAAAAGGAAAACGAGAUAAAACAAAUGAUUGAGCUCAUUUUGCUGAUGUGGAGCAUCUGAUGACGUGCGCAGAAGGCUGCAGUAUCAGCAAAAAAUAUCAUGUGUGAAUGCAUGUGAGUGAAUGCGAGUGAUCGGACCGAGAGGGGAAAUAAAUAAAAGGUUGACAAACAGGAGGAGUGGAAGACUUAAUUCUGGGGAUGUUGAUGUUUGUUUUGAGAAAAUUAUUUACUGGGGUUGGAUUAUGUUAUUACAUUAUAGAAUGCCAAAUGCUAAAAGGGAAACAUUGUUUGAGGUAACUCAAGUUACCAUUAGCUGAGGUAACACAUGAUUAAUAACUGUUCUGUUUAAGUUUAUUUUGUGUUAUAACACAGGUUGGAUCAUAAGUGGGGAAAUUGAGUAUGAAAUGUGAAGUUCUGGUUAACACACAGGUUUUUGUUUUGUUGGGAUUUAGAGAUUCUUUUAUUGCUGCCAUAUAAUCUGCCUUAUGAUAAAUGCAUUAAUAACAUGUUCUACAGUAUUAUUUUAUCAGUAAUAUUGUUUACAGGGUUCAUAUUGCAUUGAAUAUGUUUGUCAUCACAUUCAUUUUAUUCACAGGUUGAGUUCAUUCUAUACACAAUGCAUAACUGUGCUUGUUUAGAGUUGAUGUUCUAUCCAAGAGGGUUUUAAGCUUCACUGGUGAGAGUGUCCAGGUGAUACAUGUUGAGGGAAGAUGAGAACAUAGCAGGUUAAUUGCAUGCAUGCUUACAAUACACAUAAAUCUAGCAACAGGCCUGAGCGAAGGCCCAAGUGUCUUCUGCUUCUUAUUUGAGACCUGCGCCAAUUCAGUCUACUUAGUGAUUGAGGACGAGGGUCCAUUAUUAGCCCUUAGAGGCCCUGAAGCUUGAAGUUAUUACCUUAAAAGGAAGGUGUUAUCAAAAAAGAAGUUAUAUGUCUGUUUAUAGUUAUUAGAGAUGUACAAGAUGUACCCUUGUCUGUAAACAAUGACUGGACAUAAUGUAUUUUUGACCUGUACUGACGUGUAUGUGGGGGUGUGAUCCUCUAUGCUAUAAAACCAGAACUCAGUGUAUUUCUGUCAGAGCAAAUAAGCCAUAUGCUGACGGUUGUUCUCCGUUGUCAAUAAACUCAUCGUUUGAUUGCACUUUUCUGGGCCUCCGUCGUUUGUUGUCUGGUCUACAGUUGAUCCAUCUCGCUUCAUUUGGUGGAGGAUGCAGGGCAACUAAAGAUCAGCAGUAAGAGGUACAGGUGUUUGUUGUCGGCGGAGGUCGAGGCCAGAUCAGGUGAUUGAACGGCAGACGUCACGGUGAUCGCUUG
This is a long non-coding RNA of Oreochromis aureus, 1440 nucleotides long. The record is from Ensembl. Lineage: Eukaryota; Metazoa; Chordata; Actinopteri; Cichliformes; Cichlidae.